GACUCUCGACAGCAGAUAUCUCGACUCUCGCAUCGAUGAAGAGCGUGGCGAAAUCACGAUACUUGGUGUGAAUUGUAGAAUCCGUGAACCAUCGAAUCUUUGAGCGCAAGUUGCGCCCCAAGCCAUUAAGCCGAGGGCACGCGUCUGCUGGGUGUCA
Molecule: ribosomal RNA, 157 nt
Organism: Gossypium arboreum
Lineage: Eukaryota; Viridiplantae; Streptophyta; Magnoliopsida; Malvales; Malvaceae
Product: 5.8S ribosomal RNA
Exons: 1
Source: RefSeq, a predicted model, not a curated record